RNAcentral lists this ribosomal RNA (253 nucleotides) under uncultured bacterium. RNAcentral describes it as "partial 16S ribosomal RNA". It matches the Rfam family "Bacterial small subunit ribosomal RNA", at positions 524 to 776 of the family's 1533-position model. The record is from RNAcentral.
UACGUAGGGGGCUAGCGUUGUCCGGAAUCAUUGGGCGUAAAGAGCGUGUAGGCGGUCCGGUAAGUCCGCUGUGAAAGUCGGGGGCUCAACCCUCGAAUGCCGGUGGAUACUGUCGGGCUCGAGUCCGGAAGAGGAGUGUGGAAUUCCUGGUGUAGCGGUGAAAUGCGCAGAUAUCAGGAGGAACACCAAUGGCGAAGGCGGGUCUCUGGACAGUUCCUGACGCUGAGGCACGAAGGUCAGGGGAGCAAACGGG